AAUUAGUUAGAAAGAUUCAAAAGAGUUAUUUAAUGAAUACGACUAAACAUUUAUGAGAUGAUGACAAAUUUAAGCCACUUAUGUUGCUGUUAUUCUAUUUUAUGAACAGUGUUGAAAUCCAGUACACAAUAUUUAAUUUCAUCUGCUGGGCUUUGUUGGUUGAUGCAGGGGGACGCUGCUCUGCUGGACUCACUCCAUUCCCAGUGUCCUUUGCCUUGUUACCAAUGGGAGGAGAACUGGCUUUAGUGAAGGCUGGAACUCUCCAACUCACUCACUCAGCCAUCGUUCCUUAUCUGACACCCCAGAAGUCUGAUACCAGAAAUAUGAUUAAGUCUGAGUCAGAAAUAGCAGUUCUUGGCCAGGUGAAGUGGCUCACGCCUGUAAUCCCAGCACUUUGUGAGGCCGAGGCAGGUGGAUCACGAGGUCAGGAGUUCAAGACUAGCCUGGGCAAGAUGGGGAAACCCCUUCUCUACUAAAAAUACAAAAAUUAGCCAGGCAUGUUGGUGGGUGCCUUGUAAUCCCAGCUACUCAGGAGGUGGAGGCAAAGAAUUGCUUGAACUUGGGAGGCGGAGGUUGCAGUGAGCCGAGAUCCCACCACUGCACUCCAGCCUGGGUGACAGAGUGAGACUUUGUCUCAAAAAAAAAAAAAAAGAAAUAGCAGCUGUUUUGUAUCCACUGGUGCCUUUCUCACAGUAAUAUUUUCCAAGUGCCAGUCAAGACCUUGCCCUUUUUCACAUCCACUGUUUGCAAAAGUGCAAAGGCAACUGCUUCUGAUCUAAACACAUUCACCUGCCAGAGUUUACAUCACGGUUAACAAGGACAAAAUCUUUCUCUGCACCCUGAAAGACGCGUGGCCAAACUUUCAUUCUAGGAAAACCAGCUGACUCCAGACUGGGGGCUGAGUCAUAAGCUCCAGCCUCUUCUCUUUGUGAGAUAAACUUGAAAACUUAUAUUAUGAACAUUUUACAUACUAGUGGAUGUGUAAGCUUUUCCAGGGCAAACAUCACCAACUCUCCACAGAGUUAAGAGUUUCAAUGAUUAAUGCAAGAACCUUUCAUCAGAAACCUCUUGGAAGAGGUGCUUCCAAAAAUCAAGGAAACCACAACUCAAUCCAUUAGUGGUUCUGACUUUUAGAGUGUAAGGGUCAAUGACGUACCACCUAAAAUGAAGACAUAGACACCCUUGCCAUUAAGUUCUUCAUUGAAAAUUCAAUCUAAACUCGUCACUAAUUGAGAUUAACCAGACACAUUAUUGGCAGGAGAAAAGCAGGCAGAAAAAAUGAAGAAAUAUAUAUUGAAGGCUAUUAUAUGUAUUUUUAUCAUUUAAUUCUCAUGACGAUCCUGUAAGAUUGAUAUUAUUUUUCUACUUUGCCAAUGAGCC
Molecule: long non-coding RNA, 1380 nt
Filed under: Pan paniscus (pygmy chimpanzee)
Lineage: Eukaryota; Metazoa; Chordata; Mammalia; Primates; Hominidae
Description: lncRNA (ENSPPAG00000045234.1)
Source: RNAcentral